Doryrhamphus excisus (bluestripe pipefish) is the source of this 544-nucleotide long non-coding RNA. RefSeq lists it as uncharacterized. NCBI's taxonomy places the organism in Eukaryota, Metazoa, Chordata, Actinopteri, Syngnathiformes, Syngnathidae. The record is from RefSeq and is a predicted model, not a curated record.
GCUAAUUUGAGUUUCCCUUAUUGAGUUCAGCUGGUAGCUUCUUUGUUUGCUGGUUCAUUGUGAAUGUUUUGGCUGCUUUGGAUGCAUGUCUUCUCAGAGGUUUGAUGCUGCACGCUACAUUAUCUAUUUUUGACUUUUGCCACUUUGGAAUGAAGCUCCUGCUAUUGAGGAGGUGGUGCUGUGGGAAUGGUGGGGCCUCCAUAGCCGGGCUGCACAGGCACAGGCUGGUAGCUGGGAUGGGAUAGUGGGUGCUGAGCCGGACGGGGAGGCUGCUGAGGUACAGCGAUAAAGGUGGAUGUCGGCACAUCUAGAAGAUAAAUAAAGCAGCAUGGAGCCAGGAAGCAGACACAUAAACCCACACAGAAGAUGAAAGGAAUAACCGAGCCAAGGAUACUGCCCACAAGUAUAGCAGUUUUGGCGUGUUUCUCAAAGCCGGACCUGCCAGGAUACACAGACCACAGCAUCAUUGCUAAAAUGUACUUACUCAUUUUGUAAAGCAACACAUGUAGAUGCUGAAGUUACAUACUGUAUGUUUCAAGAAAUA